UGACGGGGCCGCACAAGCGGUGGAGCAUGUGGUUUAAUUCGAAGCAACGCGAAGAACCUUACCAGGCCUUGACAUGCAGAGAACUUUCCAGAGAUGGAUUGGUGCCUUCGGGAACUCUGACACAGGUGCUGCAUGGCUGUCGUCAGCUCGUGUCGUGAGAUGGUUGGGUUAAGUCCCGUAACGAGCGCAACCCUUGUCCUUAGUUACCAGCACGUUAUGGUGGGCACUCUAAGGAGACUGCCGGUGACAAACCGGAGGAAGGUGGGAUGACGUCAAGUCAUCAUGGCCCUUACGGCCUGGGCUACACACGUGCUACAAUGGUCGGUACAAAGGGUUGCCAAGCCGCGAGGUGGAGCUAAUCCCAUAAAACCGAUCGUAGUCCGGAUCGCAGUCUGCAACUCGACUGCGUGAAGUCGGAAUCGCUAGUAAUCGUGAAUCAGAAUGUCACGGUGAAUACGUUCCCGGGCCUU
This 470-nucleotide ribosomal RNA is filed under the name uncultured Pseudomonas sp. RNAcentral describes it as "bacterial SSU rRNA". It matches the Rfam family "Bacterial small subunit ribosomal RNA", at positions 917 to 1381 of the family's 1533-position model. Lineage: Bacteria; Pseudomonadati; Pseudomonadota; Gammaproteobacteria; Pseudomonadales; Pseudomonadaceae. The record is from RNAcentral.